GAUGAACGCUGGCGGCGUGCCUAAUACAUGCAAGUCGAGCGAACAGACGAGGAGCUUGCUCCUCUGACGUUAGCGGCGGACGGGUGAGUAACACGUGGAUAACCUACCUAUAAGACUGGGAUAACUUCGGGAAACCGGAGCUAAUACCGGAUAAUAUAUUGAACCGCAUGGUUCAAUAGUGAAAGACGGUUUUGCUGUCACUUAUAGAUGGAUCCGCGCCGCAUUAGCUAGUUGGUAAGGUAACGGCUUACCAAGGCGAAGAUGCGUAGCCGACCUGAGAGGGUGAUCGGCCACACUGGAACUGAGACACGGUCCAGACUCCUACGGGAGGCAGCAGUAGGGAAUCUUCCGCAAUGGGCGAAAGCCUGACGGAGCAACGCCGCGUGAGUGAUGAAGGUCUUCGGAUCGUAAAACUCUGUUAUUAGGGAAGAACAAAUGUGUAAGUAACUAUGCACGUCUUGACGGUACCUAAUCAGAAAGCCACGGCUAACUACGUG
RNAcentral lists this ribosomal RNA (497 nucleotides) under uncultured bacterium. Its description in RNAcentral is "partial 16S ribosomal RNA". It matches the Rfam family "Bacterial small subunit ribosomal RNA", at positions 28 to 507 of the family's 1533-position model. The record is from RNAcentral.